Molecule: ribosomal RNA, 331 nt
Filed under: uncultured bacterium
Lineage: Bacteria
Description: bacterial SSU rRNA
Rfam family: Bacterial small subunit ribosomal RNA
Source: RNAcentral
UCCGUAGGCGGUGCGGCAAGUCGGAAGUGAAAUCUCUGGGCUUAACUCAGAGGCUGCUUCCGAAACUGCCGUGCUCGAGUGCGAGAGAGGCAAGUGGAAUUGCGGGUGUAGCGGUGAAAUGCGUAGAUAUCCGCAGGAACAUCCGAGGCGAAAGCGGCUUGCUGGAUCGCAACUGACGCUGAGGGACGAAAGCUAGGGGAGCAAACAGGAUUAGAUACCCUGGUAGUCCUAGCCCUAAACCAUCAGGACUUGGGGUUUGCCCUGUUACGGGGCAAGUCCCGGAGCUAACGCGUUAAGUCCUGCGCCUGGGGAGUACGGUCGCAAGGCUGAA